Long non-coding RNA from Bos taurus (domestic cattle), 2797 nucleotides. The record is from Ensembl. NCBI's taxonomy places the organism in Eukaryota, Metazoa, Chordata, Mammalia, Artiodactyla, Bovidae.
GCCAUCUUGGAUCCACUUGUCAACGUCCCCACAAAGCAUUGUGGGUAAGAAAGAGCCUUUAAAGUGACUCCCCUCGGCCCCCGACUCCCGCCUCCGCCGGCGCCGCCCCUCCGGCCGCACCUCCGGCGCGGAAAGUUGCCCGCCGCCUGCCGCGCGGCCCCUCCCCUCCGCCGGCUGUUUGCGUUUAAAAUCCGCCCCCAUCUUUAAAACGGGGCUCCGGGUCUCUGCGGCCGCCGCCGCUCCCGGCCUCCCUUCCCCCACCCCUCGCGUCCACGCGGGCCCCGGCGCCCCCCGGGGCGGACGGACACCCCAAGUCUGCGUCUGAUCGGCCGCGGGCUUCCCGCGCCGGCGGCGAGGAGCCGCUCAGAUUCGUCUGUGCGCGCUGCUGCGUCGGUUUCGGCCCCAGACCCUCGCCGCCCGCCGGCGGGCUUCUGCUCCCCGGGCCGGGGCCCGAGCGCCGGCGCUGGGCCGCCGCGUACGCGGACGGAAGGUGUGUCCAGCCGCCCAACGGCCCGGGACCCUGCGGAGGCCGGCUUCGCGGCGGGGGCAGGGGGCACGAGGCGAAAAGCAACUUUUACCCGCUUGCGGCUCCCUUCCGCGGGCUCUUCCCGGGCCGGCACCGCGAUCCGCGACCCUCAGACGGAGACCCCUCCCCUAGGAAUGUGGCCUCUCUCGGCCGAGUCCGCCCUUCUGCAGUCCGCGCCGCGCGCGUUCUAGGACUUCCCCGGGCAGCCCUGCAGCUCAGCCCUUGGGUCUCUCUUACUCAGCUACACCGCCUCCCCUUCCCAUCCAGCCUGUGCUGUGCGAAGUCACUUCAGUCAUGUCUGACUCUGUGGACUAUACCUCCGAAGCUCCUCUGUCCAUGGAAUUCUCCAGGCAAGAAUACCGGAGUAGGUUGCCAUGCCCUCCUCCAGAGAACAGUUCUGACCCAGGGAUCAAACCCAUGUCUUUUAUGUCUCCUGCAUUGGCAGGAGGUCCUGGUAAGGAACACAGACCUAAUACGCCACCACCAACCAGAAGAGUUAGGGAAAGGUCAAAAGGAGAUACCACGUGUCCGACCACCUCCCAGAAUCCUUCUCUUUGGCAUCCAUCUUGGCUGAACAAGGCGUGCACCACCAGGAAGGACUCUUGAGUCAGAAUGAUUGGCAGAAGACAACCCGGAAACUAAUCCCAUCACCAUAAAACCCUAGACUGCAAGCCAUGUGACAGAGCUGUUCUCCUGGGUUCCCUUACCCUGCUGCUCUCCCCCGGGGGCCCUUUCCAAUAGAAUCUCUUGCUCUGUCAGCACAUGUGUCUCCUCGGACAGUUCAUUUCCGAGUGUUAGACAAGAGCCCGGUUUCGGGCCCUGGAAGGGGUUCCCCUUCCUGCAACAGUCCUGCCACUCUUCCCAGCUGUCUGUGGGUGCGGCCCCUCAGCUCGUGAAGCAGCUGUGUGGGCAGGGGCUGGGGCAGGAAGGAGGGGCAGUGACUGGGAGGUGUGGCCUUUUCUUUUGGAGUGCCAGAAAUGUUUGAAACCAGACUUGGGGGCUGCACAUCAUGAAGGCGUACUAAAUUUGAUUAAUUUUAUGUGAGUUUCAUCCCAAUUUAAAAACAAAUAAAACUCAUUGGAUAGAUUUAACAAACAAAAGACUAUAUUUUUCUCCUUCCUAACAAAGGAAAUAUAUGCCUUCUGAAAGGAAAUAGAUUUUUAAAGAAUUUCUGGCAUCCUCAAACUUGACUACUUGCUUUUCUCAGUUGUUUUUUUUUAGGUUGUACAAAGCAAGUUUUUUAAGGUGUACCACAUGAUGACUUAACGUGCAUACACAUUGUGAAAUGAUUACAAUAAAUACGUUCAUCUCCUAACCUUUUGAGGGAGGAGUGAGAACACUAAAGAUCCACUCUCUUAGCUGAUUUUGCGUGCUCAGUGCAGUGUUGUUGACUGGAGUUAACAUGCUGUAGUUAGAUCUUUACAACUUCAUCUUCUUAUAACUGAAAGUUUGUGCCCUUUGACCAACCUCUCCCCAUUUCCCCCACUCCCCAGCCCCCGACAACCACCACUCCACUCUCUGGUUCUAGGAGUUUGACUUCUUUAGAUUCCACAUGUAAGUGAGAUCACAGCGUGGUUGUCUUUCUGUGUCCAGCUAGUUUCUCUUCGCAUCCUGUCCUCUGCGUGCAUCCGUGUUGUCUUGCCUUUCAGCCCUUUCUCACAUCUGCCCUUCCCGUCUCCGCUGGCCAGGUAUGCAUAUGAGCCGUGCACAGGCACCUCCACGGGUCUGCCUUUGCCUCUGGCUUUCUGACCUCCUGCAGCCUCUCCCGGAGGGCAGUCGCUGCUUUGCUGAGUCUGCAUCUCUGCUGGCGGUCCUCACAAUGAUCUUGACAGGAAGCUAGGCUUCCUGGGUCCUGAGUCAGCAGAGUGGAAAGGAAAUGAAGGCCACAGAGCAGUCAGAGAGGAAGCUGCCACCCUACAGGCAGAACUGACACUUCUCUGUAGGUCUGGAAGAGAGUCCAGUCCUCUGAUUCCAGAACACGGCUCCUGAAACACUGGCUCCUGGGUCAGCCAACCCUGAGCAAGUCUUCUGCCUCUCUCUGCAGUCAUUUGCCCAGAUAUAAAGUGGGAAUGGCUGUGUAAGGAUCUCAGGCAUCAACAGCCAUGGCCUGGAUAGAAAAAGUCUGCACAAGGGCUAGCGCUAACUCCUUUCAAAAAUUUCUAAGUGGAGAGUUAAAAAAUACCCAUCUAUUUUCUUCCUGCUUUUCCUCUCCAUGAUCCGGUUAAGAACUGAUAUCAAAAGAGCAGACAAAACAAACCUGAAACACCCUAG